This 692-nucleotide ribosomal RNA is filed under the name uncultured bacterium. Its description in RNAcentral is "bacterial SSU rRNA". It matches the Rfam family "Bacterial small subunit ribosomal RNA", at positions 9 to 724 of the family's 1533-position model. The record is from RNAcentral.
GAGUUUGAUCAUGGCUCAGAAUGAACGCUGGCGGCGUGCUGUACACAUGCAAGUCGAGCGAGGCGUCCCGCAAGGGAUAGCCCUAGCGGCGAACGGGUGAGUAACGCGUGGAUGACCUGCCCAACAGUGGGGAAUAACCCGGGGAAACUCGGGCUAAUACCGCAUACGACCGAGAGGUGAAAGGGGGCUUGCAAGAGCUCUCGCUGGAGGAGGGGUCCGCGUUCGAUUAGCUAGUUGGUGAGGUAACGGCUCACCAAGGCUUCGAUCGGUAACCGGCCUGAGAGGGCGAUCGGUCACACCGGAACUGAGACACGGUCCGGACUCCUACGGGAGGCAGCAGUGGGGAAUAUUGCGCAAUGGGCGAAAGCCUGACGCAGCAACGCCGCGUGCGGGAUGAAGGUCUUCGGAUUGUAAAGCUCUUUUGCCAGGGACGAUAAUGACGGUACCUGGAGAAUAAGCCCCGGCUAACUUCGUGCCAGCAGCCGCGGUAAUACGAAGGGGGCUAGCGUUGUUCGGAAUUACUGGGCGUAAAGCGCACGUAGGCGGAUCUAUAAGUCAGGGGUGAAAUCCCGGGGCUCAACCUCGGAACUGCCUUUGAUACUGUAGAUCUCGAGUCCGAUAGAGGUGAGUGGAAUUCCUAGUGUAGAGGUGAAAUACGUAGAUAUCUGGAAGAACACCAGUUGCGAAGGCGG